CCUACGGGAGGCAGCAGUGGGGAAUAUUGGACAAUGGGGGGAACCCUGAUCCAGCCAUGCCGCGUGUGUGAAGAAGGCCCUCGGGGUGUAAAGCACUUUCAGUGAGGAAGAACGCCUGGUGGUUAAUACCCAUCAGGAAAGACAUCACUCACAGAAGAAGCACCGGCUAACUCCGUGCCAGCAGCCGCGGUAAUACGGAGGGUGCGAGCGUUAAUCGGAAUUACUGGGCGUAAAGCGCGCGUAGGUGGCUUGAUAAGCCGGUUGUGAAAGCCCCGGGCUCAACCUGGGAACGGCAUCCGGAACUGUCAAGCUAGAGUGCAGGAGAGGAAGGUAGAAUUCCCGGUGUAGCGGUGAAAUGCGUAGAGAUCGGGAGGAAUACCAGUGGCGAAGGCGGCCUUCUGGACUGACACUGACACUGAGGUGCGAAAGCGUGGGUAGCAAACAGGAUUAGAUACCCGAGUAGUC
Molecule: ribosomal RNA, 465 nt
Filed under: Vreelandella stevensii
Lineage: Bacteria; Pseudomonadati; Pseudomonadota; Gammaproteobacteria; Oceanospirillales; Halomonadaceae
Description: partial 16S ribosomal RNA
Rfam family: Bacterial small subunit ribosomal RNA
Source: RNAcentral